GAUGCAAAUGACCAACCACAAAGGUUGAUACGCCGCCUGCUCCAAGCUGGUGAAGUGUGGUGCUCGCCGAGAUGUUAAAAUCCCGACAAGCGAAAUGUCGCCAACUCCACGGCGACGCUCCUGGACCGCCAGAAUCCUAUUCCAUAGCGGUGUCGAGUUCCAAAGCACAAGCCGGCAUAGGCUGAAGGGCGCUGGAGAGGGAGUGUCGCGCUACAGCUGCAAAGUGGACUGACGAAAAACGAGGACGCCCACAAAUGCAAACUGCUUCACAGUGGUUCGUAGGCCUUAAGAAGCCUAAAACAAAAGGAAGCAAGUCAAACAGCGCGAGAGAAAUGACGUCGACUGUUUCAAAGCUGUGCAGAAGGAAAAGAGGAUGCAAGGAUAGCAAGAGAAGAGAGUAAAGUAAAGUGAAGCAGGGCAACCGCGAGAGUGGUCUCGGUCGCGUCCAGCAGUGGUGACGGCUCGUCUGACAGCGCCAGCGCUGCAAAGGCGGUCUCCAGGUGGUCUGCUGGGCCCAAGGCGGCAGCUCCCCCCCCCCCAGCGUGGAGGCCGGGG
RNAcentral lists this long non-coding RNA (555 nucleotides) under Chlamydomonas reinhardtii. RNAcentral describes it as "long non-coding RNA (CREI_LNC001387)". Lineage: Eukaryota; Viridiplantae; Chlorophyta; Chlorophyceae; Chlamydomonadales; Chlamydomonadaceae. The record is from RNAcentral.